Molecule: non-coding RNA, 190 nt
Organism: Peromyscus maniculatus bairdii (prairie deer mouse)
Lineage: Eukaryota; Metazoa; Chordata; Mammalia; Rodentia; Cricetidae
Source: RefSeq, a predicted model, not a curated record
AGAAUCAUUUAAAAAAUAGAUUAUUUGUGUUAGAGUCGGCGCUGACAACAGAAGCUUCACUCCGAUAUUGAGUCACUCAGAAGCAGUUUAUUGUACGUGUGCACACGGGUCAACAGUCAAGCUGAGGACUGAAGACCCCGAAGCUCCAGCUUCUAGGCUUUUUAUAGGGCAGUUUCAUACGGGUGGGGUA